Non-coding RNA from Pangasianodon gigas (Mekong giant catfish), 73 nucleotides. The record is from the annotation of a GenBank genome assembly. Lineage: Eukaryota; Metazoa; Chordata; Actinopteri; Siluriformes; Pangasiidae.
CCAUUCUCGAUACUGCUAAGCCUACACAGGGUCACGAGGAGCCUGGAGCCUAUCCCAGGGAACACAGGGCACA